Molecule: unclassified non-coding RNA, 272 nt
Filed under: Hevea brasiliensis (rubber tree)
Lineage: Eukaryota; Viridiplantae; Streptophyta; Magnoliopsida; Malpighiales; Euphorbiaceae
Source: RNAcentral
AGACAAAGUAAAUAGGUCAGUGGCAGCAGUUCGAGAGGUGGUGAAGGACAAUGGUGGGAAGAUGGCAGAUCCAGGAUCCAUUAUGUUCAAAUUUCAACGUGCUCGGGUUGCUAAUGUUAAAGUCACUGAUGUCGACCGCGACCAGCUCUUAACAAUUGCUUUGGAUGCUGGUGCUGAAGAUAUCAUUGAACCUUCAAUGGAUGAAUAUGAUACAGAAGCAGAUUCAUCUGAGAGGGUUUACAAAGUCGUGUCUUCUGCGGAGAACUAUCCAG